This 468-nucleotide ribosomal RNA is filed under the name uncultured bacterium. Its description in RNAcentral is "bacterial SSU rRNA". It matches the Rfam family "Bacterial small subunit ribosomal RNA", at positions 29 to 506 of the family's 1533-position model. The record is from RNAcentral.
GUUAACGCUGGCAGCGUGCAUAACACAUGCAAGUCGAACGAGAUAUCCGCAAGGGUAUCUAGUGGCAGACGAGUGAGUAACAUGUAAGGAAUCUACCCUCGAGUGGGGAAUAACUCGCCGAAAGGCGAGCUAAUACCCCAUAAUUCCGGAUGACGGCAUCGUCGUCCGAGGAAAGGCUUCGGCCGCUCAAGGAGGACCUUGCAUCCUAUCAGCUAGUUGGCGGGGUAACGGCCCACCAAGGCUAUGACGGGUACCCGGCCUGAAAGGGCGACCGGGCACGGAGGCACUGAGACACGGGCCUCACUCCUACGGGAGGCAGCAGUGGGGAAUUUUGGACAAUGGGGGAAACCCUGAUCCAGCAACGCUGCGUGAGGGAUGACGGCCUGAGGGUCGUAAACCUCUUUUCCAAGGGAAGAAAUCCCGCAAGGGUGUGACGGUACCUUGGGAAUAAGCCCCGGCUAAAUAUGU